AUGCAUCUUUGCCGCCGCAUCUCAUCACCGGUGCCAAGGAAGCUCUCCUCUCUUCCUCCUCCCCACCGUCCCAAGCUCCGGUCCUCCCUCCCAUCCCCCAGCCUGGAUCUCGCCGUGCCUGCUUGUCUUCGCCUGAUCUGGCCGUCACAGCAAGCACGAGAUUCCGGCGACACGUACACAGCGCGCCCUCACUCGCGGACGCCCGCCGGAUCUGGCUGUGAGAGCUGCCGCCCGCCCGAUCCAGUUGUGCCCUUGCUGCUCGAUCUCCUGCUUGGUUCGGCCGUUGGCCUUGUAAACAUGGCACUGCUUCCCUCCUUGAUCUGA
RNAcentral lists this ribosomal RNA (324 nucleotides) under Triticum aestivum (bread wheat). RNAcentral describes it as "partial small subunit ribosomal RNA". The record is from RNAcentral. Lineage: Eukaryota; Viridiplantae; Streptophyta; Magnoliopsida; Poales; Poaceae.